RNAcentral lists this ribosomal RNA (236 nucleotides) under uncultured bacterium. RNAcentral's name for it is "partial 16S ribosomal RNA". It matches the Rfam family "Bacterial small subunit ribosomal RNA", at positions 118 to 347 of the family's 1533-position model. The record is from RNAcentral.
UGAGGAACAUGACUUUCGGCGGGGGAUAGCCGGCCCAACGGCCGGGUAAUACCGCGUACGACCUUUUGGGGACAUCCCUGAUUGGUGAAAGCAGCAAUGCGCCGAAAGAGUGCCUCGCGGCCUAUCAGCUAGUUGGUGGGGUAAUGGCUCACCAAGGCAACGACGGGUAGCUGGUCUGAGAGGAUGGCCAGCCACACUGGGACUGAGACACGGCCCAGACUCCUACGGGAGNAGCG